Molecule: ribosomal RNA, 468 nt
Filed under: uncultured bacterium
Lineage: Bacteria
Description: partial 16S ribosomal RNA
Rfam family: Bacterial small subunit ribosomal RNA
Source: RNAcentral
GACGAACGCUGGCGGCGUGCUUAACACAUGCAAGUCGAACGGAAAGGCCCUGCUUUUGUGGGGUGCUCGAGUGGCGAACGGGUGAGUAACACGUGAGUAACCUGCCCUUGACUUUGGGAUAACUUCAGGAAACUGGGGCUAAUACCGGAUAGGAGCUCCUGCUGCAUGGUGGGGGUUGGAAAGUUUCGGCGGUUGGGGAUGGACUCGCGGCUUAUCAGCUUGUUGGUGGGGUAGUGGCUUACCAAGGCUUUGACGGGUAGCCGGCCUGAGAGGGUGACCGGCCACAUUGGGACUGAGAUACGGCCCAGACUCCUACGGGAGGCAGCAGUGGGGAAUAUUGCACAAUGGGCGGAGGCCUGAUGCAGAAACGCCGCGUGCGGGAUGACGGCCUUCGGGUUGUAAACCGCUUUCGCCUGUGACGAAGCGUGAGUGACGGUAAUGGGUAAGGAAGCACCGGCUAACUACGUG